GUUAAGUGCCAUUGAUAUGCUGAAUGAAGAAAAUGACAGAUUGAAGCUAACCAGCCACAAACUCAGGAAAGAUGUGACAGCCAGAAUGCCACUACGACAGGAUUUUUUUUUUUAGAUGGGCUCUCACUAUGUUGUCCAGGCUGGUGUUUAAUUCCUGGGCUCAAGUGAUCCUCCUGCCUCAGCCUCUGAAGCAGCUGGGACUACAGCCAUUUAGAGAAGCAAGUCUGCGACUCUCUAGCAAUCCUGGAUUUUAUGGAAAUUAUCUCUCCCAUCUCAGAGGGUUUCAAGGCCCAUAAACCUGCUCCUCCCACAGCUUGCUGUCUGCAGUUCGGGGGCGGAUGAACCACUCUGUGUCCCAGCCCACUCUCCGCUGUUGAGGAUCAGCGUCCCGGGAUCUUUGGUCUGCGCUCUCCUGCUAAGCCCAGGACGUUUCCUUCCCUUUUUCCCUGUGCCCCUGUUCCUUGGCCACAGGGUGGAGGUGAGCUCACGCCCCUGCCCCUCCGUUCCCUUCACCUCCAUUCUGGCAUGUUGCCCCCACUGUUCUCAGACUGGGGUGCUCGAGCAAUCUGCCCUCCUGUGUUUUGGGGGCUGUCCAGCUGUAACCCCUUCCCUGGGUUGGGCUGCUUUACACUUGGGCUCCCACCAGGGUCCAGGAAGGGGUGGGGGCUUGGGGGUGGAGACUAUGGACCCCACCUCCUCCUGGGAAUGGGCACCUGGAUGGCUGCUUUAUGGCCAUGUGAAAGCAGAGCAGGCAUCACUCAUUCCAUCCUCAUUCAUUCCUUCACUCACAACAAGUGCUGCAGAUACCCAAGAUGACUAAGAAAUGGCCCCUGCUUUCAAAAAGCUCAGUCUAGUCCCAUGAUGUCCUUAAUCACACCCCCUCAAAAAAGUCGUAUUAAGCAGUAGGUAAGGGGAAGUGACCUCUAAGAAGGAUCUAACAGUGGAAAUUACCUAUCUUAACGACACAGGUAAAUUCAACUUUGUAAAAGAGUUUAUGGAGUGAGAAAAAGCAUCAGAAUCAAGUAAGUUUGAGGGAUGAAGCCAAGUGUGCUUUUAGAAAAGUCUAUUCACAUUGCAAAGGUUUCUCUCCUUUCGACAGUGGCUCAUGCCUAUAAUCCCAGCACUUUGGGAGGCCAAGGUGGGAGGAUCACUUGAGUUCAAGAGUUCAAGACCAGCCUGGGCAACAUAGGGAGAACCUGUCUCCAUAAAAAGGUUUAAAAAUCAGCCAGGUGUGGUGGCAUGUGCUUGCAGUCCUAUUAGGGAGGCUGAGGUGAGAGAAUCACUUGAGCCCAGGAGUUCAAGGUUGCAGUGAGCUAUGAUGGUGUCACUGCACUCCAGCCUGGGUGACAAAACGAGACCCUGUCUCUAAAAAAAAUAAAGUUUAAAUUUAAAUCUAAAAAUAAGAGAUUCCCUCCUUUUAAGUAGUCUAGAAACAGGAGCCAUUCUUGUUUCUAUUUUCUGGUUACAUAUUUAGUGUCCUGUGUCGGGAGGGUGGCAGGGUGCUGGAGCUCACUUCUAGGCCACACUGACCGUAACAUUAUACCAUGAGACACCCACUGCUCACAGAUGUGGUUAUUUCCAGGACUCCACUUCUGGAAACAAGGCCCCAAGUGACUGGCUGUGGGACAUUCUCCUCCCUCCAAAAGUGUGAAAUAAACAUCACUUAGAAAAAACUUUGCAAUUGGUAAAACAGUAAGCAAUGAAACAGACACUUCUCAAAUAUUC
This 1725-nucleotide long non-coding RNA is filed under the name Homo sapiens (human). RNAcentral describes it as "HSALNT0105210". The record is from RNAcentral. Lineage: Eukaryota; Metazoa; Chordata; Mammalia; Primates; Hominidae.